RNAcentral lists this long non-coding RNA (2965 nucleotides) under Canis lupus familiaris (dog). RNAcentral's name for it is "lncRNA (ENSCAFG00845005866.1)". Lineage: Eukaryota; Metazoa; Chordata; Mammalia; Carnivora; Canidae. The record is from RNAcentral.
UUUUUUUUUGUUUUGUUUUGUUUUUUUGCUAAAUGUUUUAAUGGGGUUUUAUUACACAAAAGUUUCUUGGUGAAGGGCAUGGAUUUUUAAAAAGCAAUUACUAAAUUAUGAAUCAUCUGAUAAAUAUUUUAUGAUGACUAAAGUGAUCAAGUCAAAAUUGCAUUAUGCAUCAUGUAUUUUUAAAACAAACAUUUUAUUUCACUAUUUUCUACUCCUAAUCCAGUAAGACUUUGAGGAAAUAGUUAAGUGCUAAGGAAACAGAGGAAUGGAGGCAGAAAAGUACAAUCAAUGUUAAAAGACUUGGAUUGAAUCACUGAACAAGUCAGAGAUACAUUUUUCCUUUCCCUUUACACUUGUUCUUACACUUUCUUAACAUGGGUCACUGCUGUCACAUUAACCACUGUGGAUUAUGUGCUAUCAGCAGGCUGAAUUAAAUUUCUAUUAAACAUGCAUUUGGAGACUUGUGUCAUAUGUCUUCAGUUGCAGUUAGAAGUGUGCCUGUGUAAUUUGGGGUAGUAGGGAUCAAAAUGGCCCUGAAUGUGUUUUUAUUUUAGGUGGUGAAAUGUAGACAGAAUACGUAUUUGUUUAACAAGAUCUUAACAAAUUCUCAAAAUGCAAGAAUCACGUAGAAUAUCUGGAAGAGGAAUAUUAAUACUGAUACUCAAAAUAAACUGCUACAUGUUUUUCUCUACCCUGUCCUCUUCACAUUCAGAAAUCAGGAGGAGAUAAGCAGUCUACAAAUAUAGUCAUUUUUUGAUCGUUGACAAAAGAUAAUUUCAAAUUAAGCCAAGGUGUUCUUUUCUGACUCCUGUGGGACUUAGUUGACAUGUUGACUGACAUAUCACACUUUCGAACCUCUUUAGGAAACGAUGCUGUAGAGGAGGCUAGGCACUGAACACUGUGAAACAAUGUUUUUAAAAAGUGUGUCUAAAGAUCAAUAACAUCAGAAUUACUGGAGCAUUUACUAAACUAACAAUUUCUGGGUCCCAGACUAAACCUCUUCAAUCAGAUUUUCCAAGCCCAAAACCCAGCAACCUGCCUUUUAAUAGGCUCCAUAGUAAAUCACAUGGUAGGGAAUUACUGACUUGGUAGAGGCUAAUUUAUAACACUCAUUCAGUUCAUUCCCUUAGAGGAGUUAAAAAAAAGGAAAAGAUUAAAAGAAACCAUUCAAGCUAUUUUCAAAAGCAUUAGACGACCAGUGUCCAACGUAGCAAGAGCCUAAACAAUCUAACUAGAAUACAAAUGUAAAGUAAGGCAACCUUUUCUAUAAAAAAUUGUUAAAAACUUAUGCCUCCUGGUAUAAAACAUAUUGGUGAGAAGUAAAAAAGAAUUGAGAAUGAAAAAGUUAGUAAAAAAAUUUAAAAAACCUGAUCACUUAUACGAGUAAUCUCAUAUAAGAGAUAACUUCUCUGACAGUUUUAUAAGUUUUGCUUUGUAAAGAUCAUGAGUCUACAGGAAUGUCUUUUAAAAAUUUUGUACUUUUAAAUUUUGCUUCCUGUAUUUUUAAUCUAAAAUUCUAGCUGUGAAAAUAAUUAAUUUUUUAAUUGGGAAAAUUCACCAGAUUAUAUCUUGAGUUAGGAUAACACAAAUACUUAGACUGAGUUAGGAUAAAUAUAAAUAUUGUGUAUAAACAAGAACAAAGUGGUAUGAGGGGGAGUGAGAGAGAGAAAGAGAGAGAGAGAGAAGGAGGUAGAAAUACAGAUGAAAGUAGAUGAGUAAAUUUUCUUGGAAAUGUACUUCACAUCUACCAGGCAGGAGAUUACAGAGUAACAUUUUCCAAGAAUAAAACAGUCCUCUUAUGUAUUUUUUCCAUAUUACACAAAGACAUUAUGUAAAGAAAAACAGUACCUGUAUGCCUUUGAGAUGGGGGUAGCCAGAAAACAAUUAAGAGAAUAAAACAUUCCACUGGCCCUAAGCACUGACUAUAAUAAAAUCCUGGCCCUUGUGGAUUUAACAUUCAUGGUUUUGACUCUUGUAGAGUGACCUGGGUCCCUGGCAUGCUGUAAUCUGUAAUUUUGAUGAGGCACAAUUUGAAUUACAUGGUUUGAAAGGACAUGAUGACACAGGAAGUCCUGCAGUCUGUCAGGGCACCUGGGCAGUGGCCUGCCAGUAGAGAUGUGACCACUGUUACACAUGUGCAAUAAGGUUAUAUGCCAUCUCCGUUACCACCCAAAAGUUAGCUUUUAGAACUGGUGAUAGAAGUGCAGAAAAAGUCAAAAAGUCAAAGAAAUAGAUAUUUUUGAGAAAGUAGAAUUUUAAAAUUUAAUAAUGGUAUAUCAUUGAUAAAAAGAAACUCAUAAACUGAGUUUAUGCUCCACAUGAAAGAGCAUAGCAUAAUGGCUAAGCACCUGGACUUUGGAACUAGACUUUCUGCAUUUUAAUCAAAUGGAUUCCUGGUAAAGUCCCAGCAGGACCUAUCUCAGUUUCCUCAUCUGUAAAAUGAGGAUAAUUACAGUGUUGCUCUUGAAGAUUCAUCAGGAAGGUUGAAAUUCUAAGUAUUUAUAAAGGGCUUACUUUAUUAAAUCAAUGUUUGUCUAAAUAAAUUCAAUAAAAUUGGCAUGACUGUUGCAGGGCAUGUACCAGCCAGGAGAGAGAGCUCAUCCAGUGAAAAAGUCUUACCAACAUUGGUAAAAACUGUUUGCAUAAAAUGUGUACCUGGAUGGAAAUAUGACCUUCAGGGAAGCCAGUCAUGGAUAAAGAAUACUGCUUUGUGAUUUUGGAAUUUCUUUUACAAGAAGCAUUCUGAGGAGUAAACAUCCAUUUUAUUGAGCUGAUAAAGAUAAUAAAUGAUUUCAAUGGGGGACAGCUUUAUAUGAAUAUGGAAAUGACUUCAUCAAAUGCUCAACUUAUUUUAAAAAAUGGGAUAUAUUUGCCUGAAGAUUCAUAGAAGCUUUAUUUUCCUGUAGUAAUAUCAUCUAUGGGACAGGCAUAUUGUCUUCAUCUUCCUUUUUUGGUUUGUCGAGUG